GAUGAAGAACGCAGCGAAAUGCGAUACGUAAUGUGAAUUGCAAAUUCAGUGAAUCAUCGAGUCUUUGAACGCACAUUGCGCCCCCUGGUAUUCCGGGGGGCAUGCCUGUCCGAGCGUCAUUGCUGCCCUCAAGCACGGCUUGUGUGUUGGGCCCCGUCCUCCGAUCCCGGGGGACGGGCCCGAAAGGCAGCGGCGGCACCGCGUCCGGUCCUCGAGCGUAUGGGGCUUUGUCACCCGCUCUGUAGGCCCGGCCGGCGCUUGCCGAUCAACCCAAAUUUUUAUCCAGGUUGACCUCGGAUCAGGUAGGGAUACCCGCUGAGUUUAAGCAUAUCAAUAAGCGGAGGA
This 345-nucleotide unclassified non-coding RNA is filed under the name soil metagenome. RNAcentral's name for it is "partial contains 5.8S ribosomal RNA, internal transcribed spacer 2, and large subunit ribosomal RNA". The stretch from base 1 to 119 matches the Rfam family "5.8S ribosomal RNA", at positions 35 to 154 of the family's 154-position model. The record is from RNAcentral.